CGAAAGCCUGACGGAGCAAGACCGCGUGAGGGAGGAAGGCUCUUGGGUUGUAAACCUCUUUUCUCAGGGAAGAAGCUCUGACGGUACCUGAGGAAUCAGCCUCGGCUAACUCCGUGCCAGCAGCCGCGGUAAUACGGAGGAGGCAAGCGUUAUCCGGAAUUAUUGGGCGUAAAGCGUCCGCAGGUGGCGAUUCAAGUCUGCUGUCAAAGCMCGGGGCUUAACUCCGUUAAGGCAGUGGAAACUGAAUAGCUAGAGUGCCGUAGGGGUAGAGGGAAUUCCCGGUGUAGCGGUGAAAUGCGUAGAGAUCGGGAAGAACAUCGGUG
Molecule: ribosomal RNA, 323 nt
Filed under: uncultured cyanobacterium
Lineage: Bacteria; Bacillati; Cyanobacteriota
Description: bacterial SSU rRNA
Rfam family: Bacterial small subunit ribosomal RNA
Source: RNAcentral